RNAcentral lists this long non-coding RNA (4519 nucleotides) under Triticum aestivum (bread wheat). RNAcentral's name for it is "long non-coding RNA (TAES_LNC002726)". The record is from RNAcentral. Lineage: Eukaryota; Viridiplantae; Streptophyta; Magnoliopsida; Poales; Poaceae.
CUCAUGUAGGAGGCUGUGUGGGAACCAAUUGGUGGGAACUCACCAAGUCGCCUACUGAUGAUGAAUUGUUGGAUCUGACAUCCGAGAUACGGGCCAGAGUUUGGGUUUGCUAAUAUUGUCCUCAUAGGUAUUAAAGUGGCAAUGGUGAAACCUUAGUAUAAGUAGAUUGUGGAAUACGAAUAGCAGCACACGACCGUGAGAUGCUGGCCUUCUCAUUUCUGGUGCUGUCAGACUACUACCACAUGUAAGUGCCAACUGAUGAUAUGCAUCAUAUGUAAUGAAGAUUAUUUCUUGUACUUUAUUUGUAGCAGUGUUGUACUACAUAGUAUUUUAAUUUGCUCUUAGCAAGAAAUAAUCUAUUCAUGAUGCCUUUUCUUUUAAAAAAGGCUUUAUGAACCUAAAGUGCAUGUCUGAAUGUAUUUCUAAAAUUUACAAUAUGAAUUGCUUUUGAUAGUGUUGUAUCGAUGUUUUUCGUGAUAUUUUAGUUUUUGAAAAACCUUUUUUGAAAAUUAGUUUGAUGGAUUAUUCUGCUAUUGGUAAUUAGAUUACCUUUUGUGUGUUAAUAUGUCACCUUGGAUAGUAAUCUGGGUAUAGGUUUGUUGAGCAGAAGCUUACAUAUUGAAUUUUCUCAAGUAACUUCUGGUCGCCCUAUCAAGUAACUGAGAAACAAUCUUCCAGUUGCCAACAAUUUUUAGUGACCUAAGCAAUUAAUGUGAUUUGAUAUUAUAUUUGUUUUGCUGCUAAGUCUGAAUGUGGGAACUUUGUUUUUGGUCAGAAUUGUGCCGCCGGGCAAAGCUAGCGUUAUGUACAUAUCCGGUUGUGCUAUGAAGUUACUGAAGCAAGGUAUAUUCAUGUCUAUUGUGCUGGCCCCAUAUUGAUUUGCCAAAGUGAAUCCUAAUGCGUCAAUCUCUGGUCUUGUAGUAUGUUCCUAUCUAUUGUGCUGUCCUUGUACUGAUUUGGAUACAAUAGCAUGUAUAUAAAGGAAACUACAUGAAGACAGUUUUCGAUCUGUUUUAGACUAAGAACAUCGCUAACAUCCACUCCCUCAAUCUAAUACGUAUCCUUGCUAUCCUGGUUGAUGUCAAGUACUCUUACUUAUCUUGGUCGAUACAAAUAGAUUGCCAUAAUAUUUAUUUCAUAAGCUACUAAUCCAAAUAUUAUCUAGACAGGAUCCUUGUUCUUCUCGGCCUUGCUUUUCGUACGUCAUCUUCAUCUUCAGGCACUGUAUUUUUGGCUUUGGCUUUAACUUGUUUCUUGUUCUCACUGACAGCUUUUUUCUUUUGUUCUGGCAAAUUCGUCUUAGUGCAUUCAUCCUCUGAGUCAUCUGAGGAUAUUACAACAGAUCUCAGUCUCCUUUUAUUGCCACUACGGAGCUGACGUGAUGACGAUGAUGAUCUUUUGUCUUGCUGCUUGUCUUUGGUUAAUGUGGAUUCAUUGCUGUCAUAUGGCUCCUCUUUCACAGGCACCAGUUUGCAGGAAGGUGAAACUUUAUUAUUCUGUGACUGCAUACAUAUACAUUUUCAAAAUAAGACACAUCUCUAAAAUUUGAAGUUUGUAUCGUCAAAAAGUCAAUCACCUUUUUAUCUGGCAUGUUCUGCUUCUUCAUUAACAUAGUGUCUACAUCAUCAUCCAUCAAUUCUUGUGCAACAAAUGUAAUAUGAAUUGGUUAAGGAAUUCUAAAGAUGGUACUUUAUUUUUGAAACAAAGGUAAUGAAACUUUUACCUCCUCGGCUUUAUCGUUCAAAUAGAGCAUCUCAAGCCUAUCAUCAGGCACAAAUGUUCUCUUUACUGCAUAGUUUUGUGUGCCAAAUGUGAGAUUACUAUCACUGAGCUUGAAUCGAAAUAUUAAUUUUUUUCCACAUAAUUGUUGAAUAAUCUUUGGGGCUUCUUCUGUUUUCCCAUCUAGUGAGUCCAGCAAGUCAGAUGCAGAUGUAUUAAGCAAUCUUGCAGCCUCCUCGUCAAAUAAAGUGCAACUUGUAGUAGAUGUAUGAUCACUAAUUUGGAGUCGAAUACGAUACCUAACAUACCAUUCAUGUUAGUGGAGAGUAAAUAUAAUAUAACACUUACUGCUUAUAUUUAAGUAAUAUAAUAUGCUUACCGAGGUGUGACAUUUUUUGGAUAUAUACCACAACUCUUGCAAUAAUACUUGUCGGUUUCCUUGAUAACCAUUUUGGGACAGUUAUCACAUGACAUGUACCACCAUUGAAUAUUUUCUUGCAACCGAUCUACUGUAGCUAUUGUCGUGAACACAAAAUCCUGAAAACAAUCAACGUUAGCAUUGGGGUAGGGGUGGGGGAUUAAGUGACAUAUAUAAAUUCAAAAUGGUUCCAUUGUUACUAAUAUUGAACAAAUUGUCAAUGCAGGUCUUAACUCGUUCUCGCAAAAAUUGAUGAUAGCCUUUAUUGAAACUCCAAUGAAUUACCUGGUCUUGCCGGUUUUCGUGCCUCAUUUUAGUAAGUUCUUGCAAUGUUCUCCGCUUGUAAAACAUUUGUUCUUCUAGAGUUCCCUGAUUACUUCUAUCUAUACUCAUCAUUUUUGGUAAGGUUACUUGUGUUGAGUCCCUGCACAUAUAUAAAACAAAUAAUAAUAUGUACAAUCGCGAAUCAACAUGAGUCACUAUUCAUGAGUGGGAAUUUUUAAUUGGUAGUGUUUCAUACCUUUCAAGAAGUUCUUGUGCUUCUGGUAUAUCCAGAUCUAUAUAUAUUCUGGUGGCACUGGUUGACUUUAGGCACAAACCUAUUUAAUUAACCAAUUAGAAUUUGUAAAUGAUAAGAGUAGCAUCUAAGAUUUAUGGACUUACCAUUGAAUCUCUGCACCAUCGUUGAUGUAAUAAUAAUGACAGUUUGGCUGCCAAUUACAUCCUCGGUCAAAAAAUAAGCAAACUUUCCCCAUAACGUGAUUCUGAUUUUAUCACCCCUAAAGAAUUUAAUUCGAGAAGUUAUUGUUAAUCACAUGGGGUAGGCGUAGUUAAAUUUCAGACAUGCAUAUGCAUAUGCACUUACUCCGGCAUUAGUAUUUCAAUCUCGCGGAUAUAUGAAGGUUGUGGGCUCUUUUUUGUUAUUCUUGUCUCCACGGGCUUCAUUUUUGUUAGAAGUCCAAUGACAUCUGUUUAUUUGGAAAUUAUAGUAAUAUAACAAUUAGAAAUAUCAAUUAUUUGGAAGCCAUAAUUACAACUAUAAACAUACCUGAGCAUUGUGUAUCUUUUCCUGCCCUUUCUUCAAGUGUCUCCAUGGUAGCAAACUCGGAGCAAUAGUCCGGAAAAACUUCUUGAGAUCCUUUUAUCUCCUUUACCUUUGUAUUGUAUGAAAAAAAUAUUUUAAUUUCAUUGCUCACUGGCCUAUAUUUUGUGGAUUCCACAACCUUAAAAUUACUGAAUCCAUAAAUAGACUUCUCAUUGAUCUUUGAUUUAAAAGUGUCUAUUAGAUUCUUCCAUAUAGUAGCAUGAAUUGUUUCACCCUAUAAAAACAAACAAUUAUGGUUAGUAACUGUUGCUUAAUCUAAAAAAAAAUCCAAUUAACUAUAUUGAAAAACAGACCUGCUCAUCCAUGAGUAUCAUAUCUAGGCUAAUAAGCUCAUCGGUAGUAGGAUUAACUGAAUCCCAAAUCCUCAUUACUUUCACUUGAAUGUUCCAGUUCUGUCCCCUUGUAGUUAAGUCACUCAACUUUUUGUAUGCCAUAGUUUUAUGUCUUCAAAAUUAAUCGGAAACAAUUAGCCAAUGGAUAUAGUAUUUAUGAAGAUCCUAUCCAUAAAAAAGGUUGUUAAAUAACAAUUACCAAGUCUGAUGAUUCAACCCAGAAGUGCUUUGUCGUCACUUCUUCCGACGUCGAUAGGAGCAGAUGGGCGUGGCUUUGUCGGAUGUCGGCGGGCUUUGGUAUGACUUCGCUGGACGUCAAGCGAAGCAGUUGGAGAUGACUUCUCGUCGAAGCAGUUGGAGAUGACUUCUCGUCGUGCUACCUAUGUCGACUUCAAGCUGUGUGGACGGCGAGGCGUGUGUUUCGUCUGGUGUGUUUUAAGACGUGGUGGUCGUCGAUUUCUAAUUGUUUGGUGCGUGCUUCUAUGGCCGACUGCACUUGUUUAUAUGGGUUGAGGUGGCUGGGUUGAGGUGGCCGAGACCGUGUGGGAAUCUUGUAGGUAUUCGUUCCUCUCUUGGAACUUUUAUCACGUGAGGUCUGGUGGGUGUCCUUAUUUGUUUAGGUUUCUUAUUUAAUUAGGUUUGACUACUAUUUUUGCUUAUCCUUGACCCAUUGAUGGAAAUAUUCUAUUUUUGUUUUUGUGUCUUACCAUGAGGAUAAUUCAGGCUAGUUGAUGUCACAAUGGACACACUAUAUUUGUAUACGUGACGUGUUAUACUACUUGUGUGGGUCGGUCUGUGCUAUGCACUACACGUGAUGGAACAUGGAUGUGUUGGUCCGUUCUAUGCACGUACACGUGACAACACAACUUAUCUUGUUUACGCGUUUAUGUUAAAUCAAGGCCAUUAAUAUUACAAUCUAAUGGAUUAGAUAAUUUUAACUUAUGU